Molecule: ribosomal RNA, 506 nt
Filed under: uncultured bacterium
Lineage: Bacteria
Description: partial 16S ribosomal RNA
Rfam family: Bacterial small subunit ribosomal RNA
Source: RNAcentral
AUUGAACCCUGGCGGCAGGCCUAACACAUGCAAGUCGAACGGUAACAGGAAACAGCUUGCUGUUUCGCUGACGAGUGGCGGACGGGUGAGUAAUGUCUGGGAAACUGCCUGAUGGAGGGGGAUAACUACUGGAAACGGUAGCUAAUACCGCAUAACGUCGCACGACCAAAGAGGGGGACCUUCGGGCCUCUGGCCAUCGGAUGUGCCCAGAUGGGAUUAGCUAGUAGGUGGGGUAACGGCUCACCUAGGCGACGAUCCCUAGCUGGUCUGAGAGGAUGACCAGCCACACUGGAACUGAGACACGGUCCAGACUCCUACGGGAGGCAGCAGUGGGGAAUAUUGCACAAUGGGCGCAAGCCUGAUGCAGCCAUGCCGCGUGUAUGAAGAAGGCCUUCGGGUUGUAAAGUACUUUCAGCGGGGAGGAAGGGAGUAAAGUCAAUACCUUUGCUCAUUGACGUUACCCGCAGAAGAAGCACCGGCUAACUCCGUGCCAGCAGCCGCGGUAA